GAUGAACGCUGGCGGCGCGCCUAACACAUGCAAGUCGAACGGUUAAGCCACCUUCGGGUGUGUUUCACGUGUCGCGCACCUGAGUGAAACAUGUGCGAAAUCCGCCUCUCAUUUUGGUAGCAACUGAGAAAAGUGGGUCAUACACAGUACUUCAGGUCUUCCUCCUUGGAGGCUGUUGGAAAGUCCCGGCGGGUGGGGAUGGACUCGCGGCUUUUCAGCUUGUUGGUGGGGUAUUGGCUUACCAAGGCCUUGAUGGGUAGCCGGCCUGAGAGGGUGACCGGCCACAUUGGGACUGAGAUACGGCCCAGACUCCUACGGGAGGCAGCAGUGGGGAAUCUUGCACAAUGGGCGGAAGCCUGAUGCAGCAACGCCGCGUGCGGGAUGACGGCCUUCGGGUUGUAAACCGCUUUCGCCAGUGACGAAGCGAGAGUGACGGUACUGGGUAAAGAAGCCCCGGCUAACUACGUG
Molecule: ribosomal RNA, 468 nt
Filed under: uncultured bacterium
Lineage: Bacteria
Description: partial 16S ribosomal RNA
Rfam family: Bacterial small subunit ribosomal RNA
Source: RNAcentral